RNAcentral lists this long non-coding RNA (7908 nucleotides) under Lactuca sativa (garden lettuce). RNAcentral's name for it is "long non-coding RNA (LSAT_LNC007288)". The record is from RNAcentral. Lineage: Eukaryota; Viridiplantae; Streptophyta; Magnoliopsida; Asterales; Asteraceae.
CCAGAUACUUAAGUCAACUACGUUUCUAAUGGCCCUUUUGUUGACAGUAGUAGCAAAUGGAUUCUUUAGGUUCAUUCACUGGUGGUAUGUCAGAAACGUCCAUCUUCUGGUUGGAAUUGGGAUCACCCACUUUCCCUUUCCAUUUUCCGUUGACAUUAGGAAGAGAUGUCCUCUUUCUCUUAACAACACCUUCCCUAAUAUCCAACACAAUAGUUGUUGAACUUGUGUUCCUAGGUGGAAUAAUUUUCUCCUUAGUAGUCCCGAGCAUCGCAUGUAGCUCCAUGAUACUCUUCUCCAAACCAUUCAUGUAAUAGUUCAUAGUGAACUGCUUGUAUACACUAUUCAACGAUUUAAGAAUGACAUUAAUAGCCAACUCUUGAGUGAAUGGGAAGCCAAGACGAACAAGUAUUUCAAACUACUCUUUUAGCUUUAGAACAUGUGUGUCACACCCCAAAACCGAGAACUGCGAAAACGUUCUGGGGAGGAGGACGUCAUGUAUAGUAUCACAACAAUGUAAAGUAGUAAACAAGAAACCACAUCGUCUACUGCAUCAAUAGUAUAAUUUUUAAUACAAGUGUGUUCUUUCAUAGUAUAAAACAACAUAAUGAAUACUCAAAAUAAAAGACAAGUCUUGACCGCUCCGUCUUCACAAAACCUAGUCGUCGUACCUGUCUAUUUGUGAUCUGAGAAUACAAGUUAUUUUGAAAGCGAGUAUCAACAAUAAAGCUGGUGAAUUCAUAAGUAUUUAUGUGUCUUUGAUUUGUAAAACUAUAAAGUAAAGACUUGUAAAUAUUUGGAGAAAAGUUUGCAUAAGUAUGAAAAUGUUUGUAAGUAAUUGUAAACGUUUGAAAACCAUAGAAAAUCCUAUAUUUCCUACUAGUAUAAAAAGUAGUCUUCUACCAAGACUUGACUGUUUUGAAAGUAGCCUUCCACCAAGAUCCGACUGUUUUGAAUGUAGCCUUCUACCAACACCUGAAUGUUUUGAAAGUAAGCAUCACUGUAAAUGUGACAAUUUUUCCCUUGUAUAACUAUUAUUAUAAAACUAUAGUCUACCUCAUCGUUUAUGUGUAUGUGUCACAAUAUAAAGAUAGUAAGGAAAAUAGUCUAUCUAUAUCAAAUAUAUUCUACCGCGUCGUUCAUGUGAAUGUGUCACAAAGUAAAGGUAAGAAGGAAAAUAAUAUAAUAACUAAAAUUGUAUCCUUUUGUACUAGGAUCUUCACGGCGUGGUAACUCGCCGAACAGUACAACCGUAGACACCCAUCGAUGAGCAUUUUCCCUAGUGUAGCUAACAGCCUUAGGUGUGGAAUGGUAAGUCCCGAAACGUAUGUAAUAGAUUCUAUGUAAUAGUAUCUAUUUAAAUGUAUCUAUGUAAAUGUAUUCAUGUAAACGUAUCUAUGUAAACGUAUCUAUGUAAACGUAUUCAUGUAAACGUAUUUAUGUAAACGUAUUCAUGUAAACGUAUCAAUGUAAACAUAUCUAUGUAAGUGUAUCUAUGUAAACGUAAUCAUGUAAACGUAUCAAUGUAAACAUAUCUAUGUAAAUGUAUCUAUGUAUACGUAUUUAUGUAAACGUAUUUUGUAAACGUAUCUCCUGUAAUUGUAUGCCUUGUAAUUGUAUGUCUUGUAAUUGUAUAUAAUCGUAUCUCUUCAUAUAGUAUGUAAAGUAUUAGUAUAGAUUCAUGAAUGAACCGACUCUUGUGUGAUUCCUUGUACUAGGAAUAGUAAGUAGUAUUUCCUAACUUUACCUAUUAUAGUUACUAUUAAUGUACGUGUAUAACCAAAAGUAUGCUUUUGCUACCCAAAGGUACUGAACUGACUGAUGAAACUUUUAUGUCUAUAUAUGUAUACAUGAUAUAUAACUGAUAUUUAGACGACAUUCGGACGACCCAAGACCACAUCCCAACGAGGAAAAGGAAAUAAAGUGAGCUAGCCAUCCUAAGUUCUUUAAACAUUGCUUAUAUAACUAUACAUAUAUAGGCAUGCAUUUGACAAUAUAAAAGUAUUAAAGAAGUUUUGUAAAACCUUUGAAAAGUUUAAUGACUAAGAAAUUGUCACACCCCAAAACCGAGAACGGCGGAAACGUUCUGGGGCGGAGUACGUCAUGUAAAGUAUCACAACACGGUAUAUUAGCAAACAAGUAAACAACAUCAUCCAUUUCAUUAAAUAUAUAAUUUUAAUACAAGCGUGUUCUGUACAGUUAUAGACACCAAAAAUGUAAAUCAAAAUAUAAGAUGAGUCUUGAAUACGCUCCAUCUUCUCAAAAGCUGGCCUCGGUACCUGUUUACUGAUGACCUGAGAAUACAAGUUAUUUUGAAAGAGUUUAUCAGCAUUAAAGUUGGUGAGUUCAUAAGUAUUUAGUGUCGGUGUUUGUAUCAAAACGUUUGAAUGUGGUUUGAAGUACGAGUUUGUAAACCUUGGUAAUAAAAGUAUAUGAAUUUUUGUAAGUGUUUGUAAAAGUUUGUAACUCCUAUAAAAUCCUAUAUUUCCUACUAAAAGUAGCCUUCUACCAAGGAAUAACUGUUUUCUAUGUUUGUUUCUUGUAAUAUAGUUUGUACAUUAAUGUUUCAGUGAAAUGAUCACUAAAUAUAUGUAAAGGGGUAAAUUAAUGUAGUACUGUUGUGUUGUAUUAUAGGAACUACUGCUAUACUAACUACCUUAAACCGGAUUUACAUCAAGGUAUUAUGUGAUUAAUUGUACCAUACUAUCGACUAUGAAUCACGACAAUGUAAGUCGUAAAAAGGUAUGACGUUUGGCACCCGCAGACCUGCAGGUCCGGCUGUAGCUAGCAGCAAGGUGUAGGAUAGUCAAUCCAAUAUAGAUCUAUACGCAAAAUCACUCUCUCCCUCCAAGAGACUCUGGCUACAACUCGAGCCAUGACAUUGAAGGCAUGCACCGAUACAGUGUAUCACAUUUAUGUUAACACAUUCAUGUAUAUGUAAUGUAUUGUUACUCAUACUAGUAUCGUUGUAUAUGUUCUCUAGGGUCAACCAGAAUCGCUCAAAAAUUUAUUUUCUUUCCAUGAAUCAGAAUCAUGUCGUCAUCUAGAAACAAUCAGCCGAGCAACGAAAUCCCAAUUCUCCAUAUCGACGUCGUUACAUUACAAGUUGCGGUAGCAGCUGCUGUGACAACUUUCCUUACGCACAUCAACGCAGGCAACAUAAGCAAGACUGACAAUGGGGUCGAGAGUUCCAAUGGUAGUACCAAAUCGGGAAACCAACAAAUAGUAACAGUCACCGGCUCGCAAAGCCGAAAGACAAAGAACAAGAAAAGAAAGCAUCAAGCCCAGAAAGAAUGCAAGAAAUCCCAAAAACUUGCCAUGCAACAGCACCAAGUGGAAACCCCUGCCAUUCCCGUACCGAGAAGGCGAUACGAGGGAAAACUCCCGAAGUGUGAUAAGUGUAGUUUCCAUCAUCAUGGGGCUUGCCAUGAGAUGCAAUGUUGCAAUUGCCUAAAAAUAGGGCACCAUGCUCGUAGCUGUGGAGCACCGGCACGACCCAUCACUCAAGUCCCUUUCAUAGGGACCAACCCUACACAUGAGAGUAGUGAUAGAGCCGAAUGCUUUAGGAAGCAAUUUCCAAGGUGGAGUAAUGAAGAAGGCACUCGUGUCCACAUAACACUGGCUAAACACCGCAAUCCCGUCACCAAUGCAAGUACCAGCCAGUCAUGCCACCAAUGCGGUGAGAUAGGGCACUUCAAGAAGGAUUGCCCUAUAGCAAAGAACUCUGGCGCAGAUGGGAGGAUUCUCAGGAUCAUAGCUGCAGGAGAGCCUACUACGGAACCCUCGUUAAUGUAACUUAGGUGUGUUGUUGUAACAGACUUAUAAACUAUCCAGAACUAGUGCAACUAGAGUCUUAUCUUUCACGGGAUCCUAUCAGUAUAGGGAUUCUCGUGCUGCGUAUACUUGUCUUUUGUAGUAUAUCUUAUUCGCAGCAAUAGUCUUGUAGUAAAUCUAAAGUACUGUAACUCUGUUCAUGGUUGCACGGUUGUGUUUUGUCUGUAAACGUCUUAUGUUCAAAUCUAAUGUCUUUUAAGUUUCAGUAUGACUCCGACAUUAUCAUACGAAUCGAUUCAAUUUGAUCCUCACAAAAAUAGUUUCAUACGUACGUCUCAUUAUCAGUAAACGUCUUUUUAGCGAAACCGUCAUAUCAGAACACCGAAGUACUCAUGCAUGGAGUGCCUCAUAGUUCUUUUAUUUCCGAAGAAAUCCCCGAAGUACCACUCGUGCAGUACGUCAAGUUUAAUCCAAGGAUUCAAGCGGUUGAUCUAUCACUGAGGAGUGUAUACAUAAGAGUGAUAUAUAAUCAAGGUUCUACAGGUUUAGAAUUGAUGAUUCCACUUUAACUUCUUUUUCCUCGAUGGGAUGUGAGCUUAAAGAAGAAUUAGUUAUUCGACUACCUUUUCAAUCUUAAUUAUAUGCGACUCGUAUACACGAAUUUGUGAUUGUGAAACCAUGUAUGAAUUCUAAUAUGAACUUCAGGACGGAGAAAUGCUCAAGGCUACGAGUAAUCACAUCGUCAUGUGAACAAACUUAGAAUCCAGUAAGACUUCUGCAAACAGAUCGCCCUACAAUCUAAACACCUAUGGAGAUACAAGAAUAGCUCGGACGACUUAGCAAACUACACAGAAAUAGAAUUAGAAGACUAGGCUUCUCACCCUGGAGAGCCCCGGUCUUAUUCUUCCAGAGAUCGACGGAUUGCAUCGUAUGUACCUUGAAUAUCGAGGACUCCAUCAAAAUUUUCCGUUAGAGAUUGUUAUCUCUGCCUCGCAUAGAUGAAUUGGUUGAGCAAACGCAAGGAAAGAAUUACUUUCAGAAAUGGACCUGAGAUCCGAAUAUCACCAGUUCGAGUGUUAGGGAAGGAUGUCCGGAAGACUAUCUUCCGAACUCGAUGUGGACACCUCGAGUCCGUAGUGAUACCCUUCCGAUAGGACCAAUACGCCCAUAGUAUUCACGAGCUAAAUGAGUAGGGUACGUCUUUCUUAGUUGGAUCAGUUCGUCAUUUCUCCAUGUAAUCACUUACUUAUCUACCCUCGUGGUAAGAAGGAACCCCUGGAAACAUUACCUUCAGAGGUUGCUCAUGGUGUUUGUGACUCCAUUAAAGGUGCAACAUUUGAGGCACUAAGCUUUCAAAAGUCAAGAUCAAGAGGAAUUGAGAUUGUUAUUGCUACAUAACAAUCAAGGUAAGAUCUAAACCCUAUUCUUAUGUUAAUAUCGAUUAUCACAUGCUAGAUCUAGGGUUUAUGAGCUUUGGAUGAUUAUUGCAUGUUCAUUAGACAAACUAGAUCCAAAGCUUUAGGAUUUGCAUGUACACCGUAGGAUUGAUGUAGUUUUCAAAACCCAUCAAUUAUCCGAUCAAUUUGAGACAAUUUCCAGACCCUCAAAUUGUUUUACCCGGUUUGGUCCUAUAAGUAGGGGUACAUCAUCUUCUUCCAUAUACCAUCUCAUAUGUAUCCUAGAUGAUGAAUCAGGCGGGUUCCUAAACAUACAAUGAUCCUAUUGGAUUAAGGUGUCUAAGCCAAUAACUAAAUUGGUAUAUUCUUGAAUUAGAAGCAAAGUCAUUUUUUGGGUUACCCUCAAAACUAGUAUUUGGAUAAAAUGACUUUUAGAGGAAGAGGCUGAAUUGCUAAUUUAUUAUAUGAUUAAUAAAUUGGAAUAAAUAUUUUAUUAAUAUAUUAAUAUAUUAAUUAGAAAUAAUAAUAAUAAUUAAUUUGGAAUUAAUCAGAAAUUAAUUUGAAUUAAUUUUGGGACUAAUUGAAUUGAUUAAAAAUGUAGGGACUAUUUGGUUAUUUAUUGAAAGUUGAAGCAGGAAAACUCUAGAACCCUAUGGGACGGGGGUGAACAAAAUUUGGAAGGGAAUAACCUAGAGUUAUCAUUCAUGAGGCUUAGGAUAAGGAGAUUAUCAUAUUAAUUAAUUUGGGCUUUAUCCCAGAAACCCUAGUUGUGGCUUCAAGUUUCUUUCAACUAUAUAAAUCCCUCCCUGAUUCUUAUUAUUUUCGUCCACUCCUUCUUACAUUCAUAGAGCUGAAAUUUUGCUCAGGCCUCCUCUCUCCUCAAGUCUUCUUGGUACUAGGGUUCUGGGUACAAGCCAUUAGAGGCAUGCAUUCCUUUGGUGAUAACUUUCCAAGGUUUUGAAGAAGGAUUCUACUUUGAUUAUUUGCAAUAAUACACUAAUUAUAAAGUUGAGUGAUGGACAAGUCGAAAAUUAUCAUUGUUAAUGGAGCGCUUGUGGUUUACUGACACAUUAAUUUGAGAUGAUAAAUGACAUCGAGGUUGUCAGGCGGGUUUGCGUGGUUAUUCACAUCUUAUUUUUGAUCUUCGGCAUCACAGUCACAAAUUUGAAGAUCAUAAUCUAAGAUUAAACAUGUCAUUGAAAAGAUCCAAUGAAUCUCAAACAAUCAAGGAGUUUCAUGCUAGAUUAAAAUUGAUAAAUUUGUAUUACCUACCUUGAUAAAUUCGCAAUUAGAUUACGGUAUCCCUCUUCUUUAUUGUGAAUUGUAUUUUGGAUCCUAGCCUUGAAUAUUUAUUUUGGGUUAAACUAUUAAGGAGUUAUAUCACUAACUAAAAACUAAUUAUCUUUUAUAGAUGUCUGGAAAUGGUGAUCUCGCUACUACUCAAGUCGGAUCCUCCAACUCUAAUUUCUCUUUACUCUCAAUCUAGUCGAAAGAGAAGCUCACCGUUCCCAACUACAUGGACUGGAUGAGGAAAUUCAAGAUGACUCUUCGAUAUGAUGGCAAGGAAUAUGUCCUUGAAAAUCCUCUUGUCGAGAUCGAUCAUUCCACCGCCACUCCUGAGGAAAUUGCCUCAUACAAUAAACAUUUUGAUGAUGAAUUUUUAUGUAAAAUGUCUCAGACUUAUGCUUAAUCAGAUAAAAAUAUCCAUAUCUACUGUAAUCAUCAGUAAAUGUUACAAAGUAUCUUCACCAUGUCCAGUGACAUGUCAGAAUGGACUACAUACAUCCAAGUUGAUGAUAUCCAAUAGAUCUAUCCCUCUCUCCAAGUUGCCUGUGAAAGGGACUUUGUCAUUUUCCCAAGUAAACAAGAUUAACAGUCUCCAUUGAACUCUAGGUUAAAUGGCUCCAAGAUUGAAUCUGAUUGGAGCUUGGCGAUUCUGUUCUCGUUUAUAUGGCCAAGACGACAAUUCCAUAGACAUGAUUUAUCCAAAGUAGAUGAACCAAAAUUUAAGAUUAAGUUAUCGUUUCUACUUACACCAAUCAUACAUUCAUAUAUGUCACUGCAAGGAUUUGCUUUUAAAUAAAGAGUAUUGUCUUUGUACACCAAAAUACUAGCAUUAUUAUUAUCAAAUCCAAAAGUAGAACUGUCACGCCACAAUGCAUAAAAUGAAAUGAUGUUUCUUCCCAUGUAAGGCGAAUAGAAACCAUCUUUUAAAACAAUUGAAAAACUAGAAGGUAAUAAAAGCUUGUGAUCUCCAAUAUUGGUAAAAACUACUAUGCUAUUGUUCCUCAUGAAAAAAUCAAGCUCUCCAUGUCUUAGCUUCCUACUUCUUCUUAUUACCUUCACAUCAGAACAAAUGUGGGUUCCACAUCCUGUGUCAAGUAUCCAAUUGUUAGAUGCAGCGGCCAAAUGUAAUUCAAUUGUAAACACACGUGAAGUGCCAAUACCCUUGGCCUUGUUCUUUUUAAGAUCCUCCAGAUACUUAAGUCAACUACGUUUCUAAUGGCCCUUUUGUUGACUGUAGUAGCAAUUGGAUUCUUUAGGUUCAUUCACUGGUGGUAUGUCACAAACGUCCAUCUUCUGGUUGGAAUUGGGAUCACCCACUUUCCCUUUCCCUUUUCCGUUGACAUUAGGAAGAGAUGUCCUCUUUCUCUUAACAACACCUUCCCUAAUAUCCAACACAAUAGUUGUUGAACUUGUGUUCCUAGGUGGAAUAAUUUUCUCCUUAGUAGUCCCGAGC